CCUACGGGGUGCAGCAGUGGGGAAUAUUGGACAAUGGGGGGAACCCUGAUCCAGCGACGCCGCGUGAGUGAAGAAGUAUUUCGGUAUGUAAAGCUCUAUCAGCAGGGAAGAAAAUGACGGUACCUGACUAAGAAGCCCCGGCUAACUACGUGCCAGCAGCCGCGGUAAUACGUAGGGGGCAAGCGUUAUCCGGAUUUACUGGGUGUAAAGGGAGCGUAGACGGUGCAGCAAGUCUGAUGUGAAAGGUCGGGGCCCAACCCCGGGACUGCAUUGGAAACUGUUGAACUGGAGUACAGGAGAGGUAAGCGGAAUUCCGAGGGUAGCGGGGAAAUGAGGAGAGAAUAGGAGGAACGCCAGUGGAGAAGGCGGCUUACGGGACUGUAACUGACGUUGAGGCUAGAAAGCGUGGGGAGCAAACAGGAUUAGAUACCCGGGUAGUC
Molecule: ribosomal RNA, 440 nt
Filed under: uncultured bacterium
Lineage: Bacteria
Description: partial 16S ribosomal RNA
Rfam family: Bacterial small subunit ribosomal RNA
Source: RNAcentral